RNAcentral lists this ribosomal RNA (301 nucleotides) under uncultured bacterium. RNAcentral's name for it is "partial 16S ribosomal RNA". It matches the Rfam family "Bacterial small subunit ribosomal RNA", at positions 509 to 809 of the family's 1533-position model. The record is from RNAcentral.
CAGUAGCCACGGUAAUACGAAGGGGGCUAGCGUUGUUCGGAUUUACUGGGCGUAAAGCGCACGUAGGCGGACUUUUAAGUCAGGGGUGAAAUCCCGGGGCUCAACCCCGGAACUGCCUUUGAUACUGGAAGUCUUGAGUAUGGUAGAGGUGAGUGGAAUUCCGAGUGUAGAGGUGAAAUUCGUAGAUAUUCGGAGGAACACCAGUGGCGAAGGCGGCUCACUGAACCAUUACUGACGCUGAGGUGCGAAAGCGUGGGGAGCAAACAGGAUUAGAUACCCCCGUAGUCCCUGUCUCUUAUAU